RNAcentral lists this signal recognition particle RNA (270 nucleotides) under Staphylococcus epidermidis. Its description in RNAcentral is "signal recognition particle sRNA large type". It matches the Rfam family "Bacterial large signal recognition particle RNA". Rfam says of the family: The signal recognition particle (SRP) is a universally conserved ribonucleoprotein involved in the co-translational targeting of proteins to membranes. Archaeal SRP consists of a 7S RNA and homologues of the eukaryotic SRP19 and SRP54 proteins. In most bacteria, the SRP consists of a 4.5S RNA and the Ffh protein (a homologue of the eukaryotic SRP54 protein). Lineage: Bacteria; Bacillati; Bacillota; Bacilli; Caryophanales; Staphylococcaceae. The record is from RNAcentral.
CCGUGCUAGGUGGGGAGGUAGCGGUUCCCUGUACUCGAAAUCCGCUUUAUGCGAGACUUAAUUCCUUUGUUGAGAACGUAUUUUUGUGAAGUCUGCCCGAAGCACGUAGUGUUUGAAGAUUUCGGUCCUAUGCAAUAUGAACCCAUGAACCAUGUCAGGUCCUGACGGAAGCAGCAUUAAGUGGAUCCUCAUAUGUGCCGUAGGGUAGCCGAGAUUUAGCUGUCGACUUCGGUAACGUUUAUGAUAUGCGUUCGAUACAAAGGUGCAUGG